ACGGGAGGCAGCAGUGGGGAAUAUUGCACAAUGGGCGCAAGCCUGAUGCAGCGACGCCGCGUGGGGGAUGACGGCCUUCGGGUUGUAAACUCCUUUCGCCCACGACGAAGCCCUUCGGGGUGACGGUAGUGGGAUAAGAAGCACCGGCUAACUACGUGCCAGCAGCCGCGGUAAUACGUAGGGUGCGAGCGUUGUCCGGAAUUACUGGGCGUAAAGAGCUCGUAGGUGGUUUGUCGCGUCGUCUGUGAAAGUCCAGCGCUUAACGCUGGGAUUGCAGGCGAUACGGGCUUACUUGAGUGCUGUAGGGGAGACUGGAAUUCCUGGUGUAGCGGUGAAAUGCGCAGAUAUCAGGAGGAACACCAAUGGCGAAGGCAGGUCUCUGGGCAGUCACUGACACUGAGGAGCGAAAGCAUGGGUAGCCAACAGGAUUAGAUACCCUGGUA
Molecule: ribosomal RNA, 443 nt
Filed under: uncultured Corynebacterium sp.
Lineage: Bacteria; Bacillati; Actinomycetota; Actinomycetes; Mycobacteriales; Corynebacteriaceae
Description: partial 16S ribosomal RNA
Rfam family: Bacterial small subunit ribosomal RNA
Source: RNAcentral